GCAGCUUGCUGCUUUGCUGACGAGUGGCGGACGGGUGAGUAAUGUCUGGGAAACUGCCUGAUGGAGGGGGAUAACUACUGGAAACGGUGGCUAAUACCGCAUAACGUCGCAAGACCAAAGAGGGGGACCUUCGGGCCUCUUGCCAUCAGAUGUGCCCAGAUGGGAUUAGCUUGUUGGUGAGGUAACGGCUCACCAAGGCGACGAUCCCUAGCUGGUCUGAGAGGAUGACCAGCCACACUGGAACUGAGACACGGUCCAGACUCCUACGGGAGGCAGCAGUGGGGAAUAUUGCACAAUGGGCGCAAGCCUGAUGCAGCCAUGCCGCGUGUAUGAAGAAGGCCUUCGGGUUGUAAAGUACUUUCAGCGGGGAGGAAGGUGUUGUGGUUAAUAACCGCAGCAAUUGACGUUACCCGCAGAAGAAGCACCGGCUAACUCCGUGCCAGCAGCCGCGGUAAUACGGAGGGUGCAAGCGU
This 473-nucleotide ribosomal RNA is filed under the name Salmonella enterica subsp. enterica serovar Panama. RNAcentral describes it as "bacterial SSU rRNA". It matches the Rfam family "Bacterial small subunit ribosomal RNA", at positions 75 to 541 of the family's 1533-position model. The record is from RNAcentral. Lineage: Bacteria; Pseudomonadati; Pseudomonadota; Gammaproteobacteria; Enterobacterales; Enterobacteriaceae.